Molecule: transfer RNA, 539 nt
Filed under: uncultured Prochlorococcus sp.
Lineage: Bacteria; Bacillati; Cyanobacteriota; Cyanophyceae; Synechococcales; Prochlorococcaceae
Description: partial 16S-23S ribosomal RNA intergenic spacer
Rfam family: tRNA (bases 213-285)
Source: RNAcentral
CAGGGAGACAACAAAAUGUUUAAUAUUAUUAUUUUGUCACCUUAGGUCGAUCGGUAUCUCACAUCCUUAAAUUAAUUAAGGAUUUUAUUUCCUAAGUUUUUCUAGGUCACACCCAUUAUUUUUCCUGGGCCAUUAGCUCAGGUGGUUAGAGCGCACCCCUGAUAAGGGUGAGGUCCCUGGUUCAAGUCCAGGAUGGCCCAUAUCUCUAUGUUGGGGGUAUAGCUCAGUUGGUAGAGCGCCUGCUUUGCAAGCAGGAUGUCAGCGGUUCGAGUCCGCUUACCUCCACUGAUUACCACCUCUUCCAUAAUUUUUAAGGAAAUGUUUUGAGUUGUGAUCAAAUUCUGAGCGAAUCUAGCUUCCUAAUGAAAUCAUUAAGAUGCUGGACUCAUUGAAUUAAAUUCAUUGUUUUCAGAGAACCUUGACAACUGCAUAGAUUAUUUUUAAAGACAAUAAGCAUCUUUAAUGAUGCAGAUUUAUUAUUUGUGCGAAUGCAUUAAUAACAAUUCUAUUAAGCUGAUGCUUCAAUUUUUGAAGUUAUU